Molecule: ribosomal RNA, 253 nt
Filed under: uncultured bacterium
Lineage: Bacteria
Description: partial 16S ribosomal RNA
Rfam family: Bacterial small subunit ribosomal RNA
Source: RNAcentral
UACGUAGGGGGCAAGCGUUGUCCGGAAUCAUUGGGCGUAAAGCGCGUGUAGGCGGCCCGAUAAGUCCGCUGUGAAAGUCCAGGGCUCAACCCUGGGAUGCCGGUGGAUACUGUCGGGCUCGAGUCCGGAAGAGGCGAGUGGAAUUCCUAGUGUAGCGGUGAAAUGCGCAGAUAUCAGGAGGAACACCAAUGGCGAAGGCAGCUCGCUGGGACGUGACUGACGCUGAGAAGCGAAAGCAUGGGGAGCGAACAGG